Molecule: ribosomal RNA, 544 nt
Filed under: uncultured Glomeromycotina
Lineage: Eukaryota; Fungi; Glomeromycota
Description: SSU rRNA
Rfam family: Eukaryotic small subunit ribosomal RNA
Source: RNAcentral
UUGGAGGGCAAGUCUGGUGCCAGCAGCCGCGGUAAUUCCAGCUCCAAUAGCGUAUAUUAAAGUUGUUGCAGUUAAAAAGCUCGUAGUUGAAUUUCGGGAUUAGUACGCUGGUCGUGCCUUCGGUACGUACUGGUGUUACUGAUUCCUACCUUCUGACGAACCAUCAUGUCAUUAAUUUGGUGGCGGGGAAUCAGGACUGUUACUUUGAAAAAAUUAGAGUGUUUAAAGCAGGCUCGCGCUUGAAUACAUUAGCAUGGAAUAAUGAGAUAGGACGUUGAUCCUAUUUUGUUGGUUUCUAGGAUUGACGUAAUGAUUAAUAGGGAUAGUUGGGGGCAUUAGUAUUCAAUUGUCAGAGGUGAAAUUCUUGGAUUUAUUGAAGACUAACUACUGCGAAAGCAUUUGCCAAGGAUGUUUUCAUUAAUCAAGAACGAAAGUUAGGGGAUCGAAGACGAUCAGAUACCGUCGUAGUCUUAACCAUAAACUAUGCCGACUAGGGAUCGGAUGAUGUUAUUUUUAAUGACUCAUUCGGCGCCUUACGGGAAAC